UGCUUCCUGGAAUUAAAAAUAAUCUGAGGGUGUUUCUGUCAUUUCAAAGAUAUUCAGUCUAUCACUGGCUCUCUAUAUAGCUAACACGUGGGAUUCUAAUUUUAACGUGUGGCAAUCACCGCUGGUUUUUCAUCUCAAUCUAACACUUCCAGGAGAAUAAAUACCCUGUGUAUCUAACGCCAUCUCCUCUUUAUCUCCUCUUUAUUUCCUCUUGUUCUUAAGUUUGCAGUGUGUUUUCUUCCAUCGAUCGUAUUUUUUAGUGGGUGAAACUGAUCUUGCAGUCUUCUUUAUGCUCGUGGGCAAAGAAUUCUAUCAAUUCCUGGAACUACAUGAGAAAUGCGAGGGAAGGGAUAAAGGAGGAAAAGUUGGGCGGAUCUACGUAUUAAUUUGUGGUGCUCCAAUACCCAUCAACCCCAAUGUGAGCUUCGGUAGUUAUAUAGAAAAUAGUAAACAAAUAUCUAAAUUUUAAUAGUCAGCACCCAGUAACAAAAGUAUACUUGGGUGCUUUGGAUCAACGGCGGAAGUUAAGGCUUGUGGUGUCUUGAACAAAUAUCUAAGCAAGUUUUUCUUAGGAAAAUUUAGCUGCUUUUUAUGAUAGUAAAUAUUUUAUCAGCCACGCCGAAUUCCGCUACUUUCCCACGAUGCAUUGCCCUUCUUUCCCUAAUUCCAAAUCUAACCUUAUUCUUUCCAUUGCUGACAUUUCCUUUUUUUUUUAAAACAUUUUCUUCUCAUUGUGACACAUAAAAGGGAAAAAGUAAGAACUAAGAUUUGGUUAAAGCUGGAGAAAUUGAAAAGAAAAGAAUGUGCCUCUCUUAAUAUUUUUUGUGUCAUAAUAAUUUUUGUGGCUCAAAGAAAAAUAUUUGGGUACUUUAAAAGUAAAAAACAGAAAAGCAAAAAGCUUUCGUAACUGUAAGAAAUGAUGUUAUUAUUUAUCGUUUUCAAUAUGUGAAUAAUCGUCGAGCACAAUUAU
Molecule: non-coding RNA, 970 nt
Organism: Nicotiana tabacum (common tobacco)
Lineage: Eukaryota; Viridiplantae; Streptophyta; Magnoliopsida; Solanales; Solanaceae
Source: RefSeq, a predicted model, not a curated record